This is a long non-coding RNA of Thunnus maccoyii (southern bluefin tuna), 2190 nucleotides long. RefSeq lists it as uncharacterized. The record is from RefSeq and is a predicted model, not a curated record. The transcript has 3 exons. Lineage: Eukaryota; Metazoa; Chordata; Actinopteri; Scombriformes; Scombridae.
CAAGACAACAAAUAUGCAUAUUUCUCAAAAUAUUGAAUUAUUCCUUUAACGGUCCCUUGAAACACGUGCUAUGUGUCAAAGUCAGAGAAUGAGAGAGUAGGAAUUGUUCCCUUGGAGUUCAAAUCCUUGUAACUGAGUUCAGAGAAAAUAUUUUUAUAUUCCAUCAGUCCAAAGGAAAAAAAAAUCCCUCUCUUAAGAGCUGUUUACUGUGGCAAUCCUGUAACACUGACAGGUCUUUUUUCAACUCUCUCCUGAUCUACAACCAGUAAGAAUUAGGCUGAGCUGAAGCUGCUCAUUUUUGCUGUUCGUACAUCCAUCUAAUUUAAGGCAAAAUGUGUCUUUGUUAGGUACAUGUGCUUAGGUCUGACCAAGCCCUAGCAGCACUUUACGAACCGUAAUAGUUAGUAGAAUCAUUCAGAUACAUGGCUUUUAUGGGCUUACCUUUAAGUUAAGACACCCUAAAAUGGCAACUAAUUACAGUGAUCAACAUUCCUGUCACAAUGAAAUGACUAAAACUCGCCUCUCUAACUGAAAACUGCCCGUGUUGCUUUGUCUGGCUUUGCAAACAUUAAGGUAACUGAGAGGAUUUUUAAGUAUGAUUGGAUUCUGGUUUAUGAGCGUCAGGGACUUUGUCAUGCUGAUGUGGUGAAUGGUGUGUUGGUGGCUUUCUUCCACAGCACAGAGAAUUUCCAUUCUGACUGUGAUAAAAGGAAAUACGGUGCAGGCAGAGUGUGAAAGGGUGAGGCACAGUCAAAUAUGGAGCGGAUUCAGAAACUAGUUCAUUGACUUGUUCAGAUUUGUAAAAUCCCAGGUUUGCAUGCAUUUAUGUAAAUAUAUUCAACCAAGAAAGGAUCCUUGUUCAGUCAGUGUUAUUAGAGUUAAGUAGAGUAACAGCACUGAGCAUGUUUUGCUCAAUAAAAGGCGAUUGUUAAGAAAAAAUGGUCAGUGGCUAAAGGUUUUAUAUUUUCUAUCACCAAAAUCAAACCUCUACACCCUUUAAUAACUGUCUCCAGUAUCAAGUGCUAUAGAGCUACAGGCUUUACUGCUUGCACAAAAGUCAAUAAUGCAGGGUCAGAGGUCAGCUCAGGCUUACAGUUGCCUGUGUGUCCAGUCAGCCGUUGCAAUUGGUUUUGAAGUAGCAAUCCUGAGGGUGCAGAAUAGCACUGUGGACACAAGGGAUGAGGGGAUAAAUGGAUGGCCAGAGGAGGGAUGGAGCUUUCAUCUCCCUGAGUGAACAACCGUGUUGGUGCAAUUAAGGCUCUUUUACAGGACUGGUGAAUUGAUUAACAUGCCAUCCAGCCAAUGGGAGAGCUGAGGGCCCAUUUCCUCCCUAGAGCCGAGUGAAGCAUAAGACUUACCUCCCUGCUCGUCCAACAUAACCAAAGUCCUGAUGCCGGCAUCUUUGCUCUACUCCCCAAAGACAGGCAGGUAGCAAGGAGGGGUGAGGGAGAGAGGAGAAAUAAAAUGAAAUAGAGAUGACGACAGUGCAACCAUGUAAACUAAAGACUUGGAGCUUCUUACUGUCCUCGCUGUACCAAGACAGAUUCAGCUCUGCCCAGCAACACAACCCACUGUCUUCCUCUUGGUUUGCUUCAUGUGUGUUCCUACAGCUCUGCUCCUCUAUCAAGCAGUUAUUGUUGUCUGUUAACGGAUUGCAUAGUGUUCUUUGUUGGGAACAGAGAAUAAUGGGGACAUUGUGUAGCAACUUGGUAAUGUUGGCUCCCUCAAGUUCAAAAUUAAAAUAUGACUUGCUGCAUAAUGUUGUGUGGGUACAUCACCAAAAUUAUUAUUAUGUAAAAUUCAUCAAUUAGAAUUAAUGUAUAAUUAUUUUGCAACUAAGGACUUGAGAAAACAACUACACACUGAGAAAUUAUGAACAUUUGUUCUUACUCAGUGCUCCCUUUAUUCACAAAUUUCUAAAAUGAACAUUUUAAUAACAGUGACAAAAUUAUAAGACAGGAACAAAAUUAAAUAGCCUCAUAGCUGUAACAUUCAAAUUACUAAACUGUAAGAAUUUAACAGGGUGUUGCAUUUUUUCUGUUCAGCAGUUAAUUUCCUGAUUAUGCCAAACAAUAAAUGCAGUAAAUUCUUAUUUCUGCUGUUUUCAGUCCAUCUACACACAGACGAAUUUUGCCCCAAAGCGUAUCUGAGUCAUGACUGAAUUCCAGUCUCACUACAUUAAUUUCUUUU